This is an RNA transcript of Raphanus sativus (radish), 1790 nucleotides long. RefSeq lists it as uncharacterized. The transcript has 11 exons. The record is from RefSeq and is a predicted model, not a curated record. Lineage: Eukaryota; Viridiplantae; Streptophyta; Magnoliopsida; Brassicales; Brassicaceae.
UUUUUCAGACAGCAUAGCCGUAAAGAAAAAAAAAAUUGGAUCCUACUCUGUCGAUUCAACUGCGAAACAAAGAUGGGUAUUCCCAGGAAAAACAAAUCAUCCAAACGAAGUUUGUUAGGGUCAAUAUUUAUGCGGUAGUUUGUUUUUAUUGUGAGAUUUGCAAACGAAGUUCAAAAAAAUCCUCAGCAACUUGUACAAUUUCGAGUUUGAGUCCUUGGCUACCGAUAAUAAUCCCAGAUUUGAUUUUCAUAAUCAGUAGAGAUGGAAAUAAAAGAGAUUGUCUGAAACCACAAAUCGAAAGGUUUGCAAGGGAGUUCAAAGACAUAUGUACGCUACCAAACAUAAUCCCAAGUAAAUGCUUUGAUUCAUAGAUGAGAUGGAAAUCUAAAUAGAUAGUCCGAAACCAAAAUUCAAAAGGUGUGCAAGGGGAGUUCACAGACAUUUACAUGCUCCAAAAAUUUCUAUCACUGAGGAUAAUUACAAAGAUAAGUAAUCUAAUGAAUACAUCAACGAAUGUUUUAAAAGCAUAGAUUCUCCAUCAAUAACAUAUCUAACGUUUUACAGACUAAAAAGCAAGGAUUUAAACUUUGGAGUUCAGUACAAUCGAGUGAUGACAUGGGACAGUAGCUUUAACAACGAUCAGGUGGGGAAUCCAUGGUUGAUAGAUCAUCGAAAUAGUUAUAGUUGCUCCUCUUCGUUUAAAAGCUUGUUUAGAGCAAGGUGUGAUCCUUUUGCUAGUCAGUGUUUUAUGUGCUUCUCAUGUUCCAUUGAAUGCCACUCUAGUGUUUCGUUCUACUAUACAGACAGGAAAUCAGGUUAAUACUGAUUCAGCUAGCUGUAGCAUGCAAACUAGCGAUACAUUUGCUUCUCAUGUUCCAUUGAAUGCCAUUCCAGUGUUUCGUUCUACUGUGCAAACAGGAAAACAUGUUAAUACUGAUUCAGCUAGCUGUAGCAGGCAAACUAGCGAUACAUUUGCUUCUCAUGUUCCAUUGAAUGCCACUUCAGUGUUUCGUUCUGCUGUGCAAACAAAAAAUCUGGUUAAUACUGAUUCAGCUAACUGUAGCAGGCAAACUUGCGAUAUAUUUGCUGCUCAUUUCCAUUGAAUGUCACUCCAGUGUUUCGUUCUACUGUGCAGACAGGAAAUCAGAAUCUUCUUUAUGAAGGUGUUUCUACAGUCCCUCUGCAUGCUCUUCUGGAUUUUAGUUCUGUCCAUAUUGGAUUUUCACCAACCACGCGAGGAGUUGGUGAUAUUAUGGUGAAUAUUUUAAAACCAAGAAAGAUUUGAUGUUGAGGAUGAAGAAAUGGGCUUUAGAGUGGAAGUUUGAGUACAAGACUGUCUCUUCUAACAAGUCAAGUGUGUUAUUGAAUUGUGUUGAUGACACUUGCACGUGGAGGAUGCGUGCUACCAAGCUACCUCUUGCAGACUUUUUCGUUGUUAAAAAAUAUGUUCAUGAUCAUACAUGCGAUACAACACACAGGAAGGCCAACCACAUACAAGCAUCUGCAAAGUUGUUGGGUUCUUUGAUUUGCAGCAAUUAUGGAGAAAAGAAGGAAAGUCUCAAACCAAAACAGAUCAUUGAACAGGUCAGGAUGCCCAGCGGCUAUCAGAUGAUUCUCCUCAGCCCAGCGGCUAAACACUAAGCACUCUCUCCCAUCCCCCUGGUUCGAUAUGCAAGUGGACUCUAAACUUUUUCUAUUUUUUUUUGUCUGAAAACAUUACAUUUUGAAACUUUCCAUUUAUGCAGAUAUCAAAUCCUUUGUUUUUAAUCUUAUUUCAUUUUUAUUUCUUA